UGGUCCUUCGAUGACCCUGAUAUAAAAGUGCUACUUCAAACGACAACAUAUGUCUUCUCACUCUGUUGCCACCCUUAGGCCCAUCACCAAUGUUGUUCAAGAUCCAGGCUAUCAAUCCCAAUUUCAGCAAUAUCAACAACAGCCUCGACAACAAGCUUCGGGACAACCAUAGUUUGAUCUGAUUCCCAUGAAAUAUGGAGUGUU
RNAcentral lists this long non-coding RNA (204 nucleotides) under Medicago truncatula (barrel medic). Its description in RNAcentral is "long non-coding RNA (MTRU_LNC008414)". Lineage: Eukaryota; Viridiplantae; Streptophyta; Magnoliopsida; Fabales; Fabaceae. The record is from RNAcentral.